Molecule: unclassified non-coding RNA, 433 nt
Filed under: uncultured Russula
Lineage: Eukaryota; Fungi; Basidiomycota; Agaricomycetes; Russulales; Russulaceae
Description: sequence contains ITS2
Rfam family: 5.8S ribosomal RNA (bases 1-154)
Source: RNAcentral
AACUUUUAGCAAUGGAUCACUUGGCUCUCGCAUCGAUGAAGAACGCAGCGAAAUGCGAUACGUAAUGUGAAUUGCAGAAUUCAGUGAAUCAUCGAAUCAUUGAACGCACCUUGCGCCCCUUGGAAUUCCGAGGGGCACACCCGUUUGAGUGUCGUGAACAUCCUUCAACCUUUCUUGGUUUCUUGACCGGGGAAGGCUUGGACUUUGGGGGUCUUUCAUUGCUGGCCUCUUUGAAGCCAGCUCCUCCUAAAUGGAUUAGUGUGGUCUGCUUUGCCGAUCCUUGACGUGAUAAGAUGUUUCUACGUCUUGGGUUUCGCACUGUCGCUUUAGACCCCGCUUCUAACCGUCUUGCAUUCAAGACAGAGUUUUAAACCUUGACCUCAAAUCGGGUGAGACUACCCGCUGAACUUAAGCAUAUCAAUAAGCGGAGGCU